GGGUAGUUUGACUGGGGCGGUCUCCUCCUAAAGAGUAACGGAGGAGCACGAAGGUUGGCUAAUCCUGGUCGGACAUCAGGAGGUUAGUGCAAUGGCAUAAGCCAGCUUGACUGCGAGCGUGACGGCGCGAGCAGGUGCGAAAGCAGGUCAUAGUGAUCCGGUGGUUCUGAAUGGAAGGGCCAUCGCUCAACGGAUAAAAGGUACUCCGGGGUUAACAGGCUGAUACCGCCCAAGAGUUCAUAUCGACGGCGGUGUUUGGCACCUCGAUGUCGGCUCAUCACAUCCUGGGGCUGAAGUAGGUCCCAAGGGUAUGGCUGUUCGCCAUUUAAAGUGGUACGCGAGCUGGGUUCAGAACGUCGUGAGACAGUUCGGUCCCUAUCUGCCGUGGGCGCUGGAGAACUGAGGGGGGCUGCUCCUAGUACGAGAGGACCGGAGUGGACGCAUCACUGGUGUUCGGGUUGUCAUGCCAAUGGCACUGCCCGGUAGC
RNAcentral lists this ribosomal RNA (487 nucleotides) under Weissella cibaria. Its description in RNAcentral is "partial 23S ribosomal RNA". It matches the Rfam family "Bacterial large subunit ribosomal RNA", at positions 2263 to 2749 of the family's 2925-position model. The record is from RNAcentral. Lineage: Bacteria; Bacillati; Bacillota; Bacilli; Lactobacillales; Lactobacillaceae.